AAGCUGUUAGUUAAUAAUAACAUAGAUAUGUCAAAUCUAAAUUACAAGUAUUUGUACAACUUA
RNAcentral lists this transfer RNA (63 nucleotides) under Macrocheles glaber. Its description in RNAcentral is "tRNA-Asp". Lineage: Eukaryota; Metazoa; Arthropoda; Arachnida; Mesostigmata; Macrochelidae. The record is from RNAcentral.